Molecule: long non-coding RNA, 3472 nt
Organism: Helianthus annuus (common sunflower)
Lineage: Eukaryota; Viridiplantae; Streptophyta; Magnoliopsida; Asterales; Asteraceae
Exons: 6
Source: RefSeq, a predicted model, not a curated record
UAGUGAAACAAGCCAUGGGUCAUCUUCAUUGGUUUACAAGGGCGGUGCCUUCACCCCUUCAGUCCAUAUAUAACGCGGUGAGAAAGAGGUAUCGAUUGAUGAUGGUGGAGCGGUUAACGGAGGAGCACCGCCGCCCCUUCCGUCCAUCUUGUCUGAUCGACGCCUAUACCGUCUUCGAUCUCCUAAGCGUCUGUUCAGUGAAUACCCGUCGUUGCCGGCGGCCAUUUGAGUCCGAUUCUGGUAGCAACGGCUAUCCCGAUGGAGGCCUAUUGUUGCCGGCGGCCAUUUGAGUUUGUUUCUGGCGGCGACGGCCUUCAGAUUUCUCCAUGGUAAUCUCUUUUUAUCUCCAUUCUUGAGUUUUAUACUUUUAGAGCUUUUGGUAUAUUGCAUGACUUCUCUAAUUUGAGAACUCUUUGGAUCUGUAAAGCCUAAAGAAUUUCUGGUGUAAAACCCUAAGUCUACUAUGAAUUUCUAGGGGUGGAGUUUAAUUGUUGAUAUCCAGUAAUCUUGAUUAUUGGGUUUUGAAAUAUGAAAUCCUUUGAUCAUGAAGUUGUAAAGGUGGAAUCUUUGCAUGUUAGGAACUUAAAUAUCAAGAUUUAGAAUUGGAACUUUGAUCGUCUUGCUGUUAUGAAACCCUAACGGGUCGUUGUUCUUGAAUGGGGUCUUUGAUUUGUGUUGUUGUAGUCUUUGUAUCUGAAUGGGGAAUUUGAUUGUACCAUUGUAUUGAAAUCGUAAGUUAGUCUUUGUUUUUGCAACCUCCGUUGCAGCCAUUAUCAACCAGUUGAAUUUCACCCCACCUGUUGGAAUUAAGGGUAUAUGGAACUGAAAGCUAUAUUUGGUCGUUGCGUACCGAGUUCGUUUGCUGGCUAUGAUGACUUUGGUAAAAAAAAAGUUUAGGUUUGAUGUUGCAUAGCAAGGAUGGCGAGUGCAGUGUUUGCUACUAGCAACCUGUUAUGCAGCUAUGACAACCUCAAUACCUAUUCUGAGCCUUCUAUUACAAGUUAUUAAAAAACCAAAACGAGUUCCAGUUCCAUAAACGGCCUCAUUAAAAUGAGUGAAUCAUUUCUGUUUGAAUGGAUCAGUAAAAAUGGAAAGAAGGGUUUCACGUAACUUCAAUGACUGCAACUAGCAGUCGUUGGGGUGUUGUGAUGUCAACAAACGCAGGAUUUUUUUACCAGGCCGGCUCGGUUUGUAAAGUAGCCGAGGCCAGCUCCGGGGAAGUUCCGCCGACUGCGUUGGCGCGUCAACCCUAUAUCUACAAGUUCUUAGGUUUUGCAUUUUGGUACUGGUGAUGAUAACUUUUGCCUCCAGAAGAAAAUGUUCUAAAGAGUCUUAAAACUGAUUUGAAUGGUGAAUAAAUCAUCUUUCAGUUUGUGUUAUAAAAAAGAGGUACAGCGAGUUUUUUGCCCAAGUGAGAUCAGUGCUCAAACACUACCCAACUCUUCAAUUAUCUCAAACAAGAGAGGUUACAUUUGUCUAUUCCACAUAAUUAUGCAAAUCAUAUAUUUGUUUUAAAAAUUUGAUCUCUUUUCACUUUAGGUCUACAUAUAAUAUGUGUGUAAACAGUGUAUGUACCAUAGCAUGUACUGUGUUUUAAAUGUGUUACAGAUUAUUGGUUGUGAAUGUAUGUGAAAAAAUCACGGGUCAAAACGGGUCGACAACUUCAAAGAAAUAGAUCAAUGGGGUUGGUGUUUUAAAUAAACGGGGCAAGUUUCGGAUCAAAACGGGUCCGGUUCGGAUUGAGUUUCUGGCGGCCGGGACGGGUUUCGGAUCGGAACGUAGUUGGUUCGGAUGGGAUUUCGGGUAGGCACGGGUUUCCGCACGGGACGGGUUUCGGGCAGACAUGAGUUUUCGCACUGGACGAGUUUCGAGUCGGGACAGAUUUUAGCACGAGACGGGGUUCAGUUCGAUUUUUUUGUUUUGUUUAGGUUGGUUAAUUUCGGUUUCGGUUGAGAUUUUUUUUUCGUUUUGGUUACUUUUUGGGUUCGGUUGAGAUUUUUCCAGUUUUUUUUUCGUUUUGGCCGGUUUCAAUUCGGUUUUUUGUUCCUUUUUGAUCGGUUUUUCCGGAUCGGUUUAGAAAUUUUCAGUUUUUUUGUUUCGUUUUGGUUGUUUCAUUUCGGUUCAGUUUUCGGUUUUUUCCUUUUGGUUGCUUUUUUCGUUUGAUUUUUUUUCAGUUUUUUUUUGUUUCGUUUCGGUUCAGUUUUAGGUUUUUUGUUUCGUUUUGCUCGCUUUUUUCGUUCAAUUUUUUCAGUUUUCUUCUCAGUUUUCGUUUUGUUUCGUUGCAUCCUUUUAACUUACCAGAUAGCCUAACUUCCGCGAUUUCAAAAUCGGAAAAUACCACCAACUGAUGCAGUAAUCUUGAUUUCUUAUGAACACCAGCAAACAGAUUUGAAAACAUAUUUUUCAACACUUCGAUUUAUACAUUUAGAAAACACACCCGGACCCGUUUCAACCCGACAAAAUUGCCCCUUAAUGUACAUUCUCUCUUUAAAAAAACCCAUUUUUUAACCAAACCGACCCGACCCGAAACCCAUUCUGACCCGGAACCGUUUCAACCCGGACCCGUUCUGACCCGAACCCGUUCCGACCCGAACCAAAACAACCCUUUUUGUAACUGAUACGUUUUGACCCGAAUCCGUUUUAUCGCGGACCCGUUUUGACCCACGACCCAACCCGACCCGGCCCGACCCGUUUGCCAGGUCUAAAUUUUACACUUUGUAAUGGCAUGUAAAUAUGAAGUGAUUUUGAAUAAAUUUUAAGCAAUUUUCAAGACAAUUAAGUAAAGUAACCUAUCUUGUCUUUGAGUGCAUACUUUCAAUUGGGAAUUUUUAGGUACUUGAAUUUUACGACUCAACUUAAGUGUGUUACUAUUAGUGUUGAUGUAUGCAAAGAUUUUGUUUUACUUCUUACAAUGCUAUGGGUUGUCAUAUAGAUAGUUUCAUAACCAUGUCGUCGCACACGCAUUUUCUCCAGCAACGCCCCGAGUGACAGGAAAAGCUGCAGAUGUUAUGCUAUUGGAGAGGUUGCAAAGUAAAGGAAAUGAGCUACUACGGGACCACUAUGUAAAGACCGAGCUUUUCACCGCCGAGCUCAUGGUAUCAGUCAAACCGUUUACCAGUAAAAUGUGCAGGCAGCAGGCGUAAAGAUCGGAAAACCAACUCACUGACUGACCAACCAAGCUCGGUCAUAGCAUACAGAAGACUGAGCACACCGGCUCCAACCAUGGCUAUGACAUUGUCGAAGGUGGAGCACCAUGUGGCAUUGCGUGAUCACGUGACUGGAAGCCAUUUGUCAAUGGCUCGGGCCGUUCGGUUCUGUUGUCAACCUGUCACAAUCAUGAUUUUUUAAAUAAGUUUUUUAGAGGAACAAAAUUGUAAUUGUACCAUAAGUCAAUAAUUAAUAGUCAUAAUGUUAAUAAGAAACACAAUCAUUAUAAUAAUACAUAUAGUUUAAACUCGAGAUAUCGAGGUGA